AAUCAACGCUGGCGGCGUGCCUAACACAUGCAAGUCGAACGCGAAAGUCCCGCAAGGGAUAAGUAGAGUGGCAAACGGGUGAGUAACGCGUGGGUGACCUGCCUUCGAGUGGGGGAUAACGUUCCGAAAGGGACGCUAAUACCGCAUGACAUCCUGCUUUUGAAGAGGUGGAGAUCAAAGCCGGGGACCGCAAGGCCUGGCGCUUGAAGAGGGGCCCGCGUCUGAUUAGCUAGUUGGUGGGGUAACGGCUCACCAAGGCAACGAUCAGUA
RNAcentral lists this ribosomal RNA (270 nucleotides) under uncultured bacterium. RNAcentral describes it as "partial 16S ribosomal RNA". It matches the Rfam family "Bacterial small subunit ribosomal RNA", at positions 32 to 285 of the family's 1533-position model. The record is from RNAcentral.